This 301-nucleotide ribosomal RNA is filed under the name uncultured bacterium. RNAcentral describes it as "partial 16S ribosomal RNA". It matches the Rfam family "Bacterial small subunit ribosomal RNA", at positions 509 to 807 of the family's 1533-position model. The record is from RNAcentral.
CAGUAGCCGCGGGAAUACAGAGGGUGCGAGCGUUAAUCGGAUUUACUGGGCGUAAAGCGUGCGUAGGCGGCUUUUUAAGUCGGAUGUGAAAUCCCUGAGCUUAACUUAGGAAUUGCAUUCGAUACUGGGAAGCUAAAGUAUGGGAGAGGAUGGUAGAAUUCCAGGUGUAGCGGUGAAAUGCGUAGAGAUCUGGAGGAAUACCGAUGGCGAAGGCAGCCAUCUGGCCUAAUACUGACGCUGAGGUACGAAAGCAUGGGGAGCAAACAGGAUUAGAUACCCCCGUAGUCCCUGUCUCUUAUAC